Molecule: long non-coding RNA, 4210 nt
Organism: Ipomoea triloba (trilobed morning glory)
Lineage: Eukaryota; Viridiplantae; Streptophyta; Magnoliopsida; Solanales; Convolvulaceae
Exons: 2
Source: RefSeq, a predicted model, not a curated record
UAUCUUUCACCUGCCAUUUUGCAAUUUGCUGCAGUAUAAGUGUAUCUCUUAACUAUAUGCAUACAUAUAUGUGGGUGUAACAGAAGGAGCUGUGUGAAUGUGUGUAAGAAAGAAGAUUUGAAGAGAUAUUGAUAUUAAAAGUCGCUUUCUCAUCUCUGAUUCUCAUGGCGAAAGCGACACAUCAUCUUCAUUUGUAUUUAUACCCUCUCUCAUUUUUCUACAACAUCCUCUUCCCUUAUUUCCCGCAAGAAAAAAAGGAGAAAUUUUUGCCCUUUUUCCCAAUCAAACACUGCCCUUUGAUCCUUUCACUGCCUCACUGUUCUUUUUCUUUCCCCCUUUUUAAAUAAAUUUUUUCUCUACUUUUUGAUUUACCAUUGCCCUUAAUCUGUCACUCAUAAACCAACUGAGCUAGUGUGGACUGAUUUACCCUUUCCUGUCUCUAUUUAUUGCAGUGAAGUGGCAUUCAUAAGCACCUGAAGUGAAUGAGGUAGUUAAAGCAUAUCAAGAAUUGCUUGAGAUACCAUGGGGUUUCAGAUUUUUCUAGCAGUUUAUGCUCUUAUAUCUUCUGUCUAUUACCUUAUCCUUUCUUUUUUGCAGUUUCAGCCCAAAGAUGGUACCUUUUAAGGUUUUCUUGUGGUCUAAUUUUGCUGGGGACUGUUAAUUGCUUUAUUAGAUAGUCUUGGUAAUGCAUGUUCAUCAUACUGGGAGAGUUUUGUUGGCUUACUUUUCAUAUUAGGUUUUGUGAAUGAGUUAAUUUGGUCCAGUAUCUGUGAUGAUUUAUGGCUUUUGGUUAGGAUCAAGUGAUAUAUUGGUAUUGUGUAGCUCUUUUGAGGCGCGGUUUUCGUUGAAUUUCAAUCUCAUCAGUCAAGAUGCUUUUUCUAAUAACAAAGAAAUUGGCCAUUUAAGUUUCAUAUCAUGUUGAAGAAGUCAUAUUACCAUGCUCAGUGCUUCUUUUCUUUUUGAUUAUAGAGAUUUCAUAGUAUGUUGAUCAUUACUUUUUGGUUUUCGGUUUUGUAAUCCGUUUCUGGGACUAAUCGGAUUGGCUGAGAAGUUUUUGAAGAACUACUUUCUUUUGUUUCUUGGCUUUGUGUGAUUGAACUAACCAUAGAGAUAUAUGUAAACGGGUAAUUCUUUUUAUGAAAUACAUUUAAGUUUCUGCAGAUGGGUAACGAUUUGUGCAGAGGUAUUGACAAACCAUAGAAAAGGACUUGUUUUUAGAUGAAACGAGGCUGGUGGAAAUGCUCCGUAUAGGUAUAUCUCAAGCAGGAACGAGGAUAGAAGUAAUACCAUUUUACCCCACACUUCGCUUUUUCACCUUUUAGACGAGGUUAUUGUUAUAAUUUCUUCUUUGCUUUGUGAAAUGGAACCAUCAGCCCUCGGCUUGCUGCUGUGAGUAAUGAAGAUAGCUGAUUUGCCGGGGGCCAAUGGUUCCAUUUUUCUUUUACUUUUAAAUUAUUAUUUAGUAUUUAGCGUAACUAUGAUAUUGACAUUACAAUAUGAUAUUUCUACCAAUCUGAGUAUACCAAUGCAUUUACCGAUUCUUCUUCAUUACAACACACACAGUCACGCAAAGGGAAUGAACACCCAACACUAAUGCUUUCUAUAAGGUGGGACUUGAACUAUUCUAAUCAUAGUCUUGGUUUUCUGCAUUGUUUGUGCUUUUCGUUUUUGUGCCUUAAACUUCUGGUGAAAAUGGAAGGGGAUCUGAUUUUUCUUGUGUUACAUUGCAUCUCUAUUAAACUGUUGGAAGCUUAUAUCCUAAGAAGGCGACUUGAAAUGUUACAAUUUGUGAAUUUAUGCCUUAAUAUUAUGCCCUAAAAUUUUCAAUUGAUGCUCUCGGUUACUGCAUUGGGGAAUGGUCUGAGAGAGCUUCCUUCAGCCCACUCAUGGAUGAGAAUUGGGGUUGAAUUAGCUGCCACCUCAUUCAUCCAAUCACUCAGUAGAAAAGAUUACGCUUUGUGCUACUGUGAUUGAGUGAAUGAUGCGGGAGAUAGUUUUCUAUCCCGCUCUUUCUUUGCUUGGACUGAAGGGAGCUCCCUUUUUCUAUUACCUCCAUUUUUUUCUCUUCCCGCAUUUAUACUCAUUUCCUUCUUCAUCCUAACAAAUAACAAUAAUGCUUCAGUGUUAUUAAGCAAUGUCCUAAUAUUGCUAGGGACAUUGGGAACGUGUCAGUUCGCCAUGUCAGUAGGUUAGCGAUUCAUGUGGCUCAUGUGUUAGCACGGGCGUCUGGUUCUGUGUCUGUCUUGAGGUAGUGGGUUUCUGUUCCUCCGGCCUGUAUUUCGUCUUUGGUUGAUUAUUAAUAUAUCUCGUUUGUUGAUUUUCAAAAAAAAAAACAAUAAUGCUUCCUACAUGACGUUUCUUAUGAUCUUAUCUCCUUGCAACUUAGCUAUGCAGCCUAUGCUAUGCAAUGAUUUCCUUUCUUCAUUAUGAUGACUACCUCGAAUGAUGAAUGGCAUUUCAAAGCUUCCCAUCCCGAGUUUUUCCCUGUGUAGGAACUAACUGCUGCUCGUUAAUGAAAGAACUAUGAUUAUGACGUUUGUUUCUUUUGCACUACUCCACAGUUUCUUGAUAUGAAGCAUACUUCUGGAUCUUAGUACCGAGGUUUCUUACAGGCUUUAACUAUACAGCAGUUGAAAAGGCAACUAUGAACUAUGCUCGAGAAUAUCCACUAGAAGAUCUAAAGUCUGCUGAUCAGGUUUCUCUCCUGAACUCGAAUGUCUUUUGCAUGGCUUGUUAUGCAUUGAGUUCUGAUUAACCAGGCAACCACUUGCGAAAAUAUCAAUUGGUGACGAGUCAUCUCGAAGAAAGUACAAUCUUUUUUCCGUUUUUCCAUUUGCUAUAAAAACAUUUGCUCUCUUUUUUAUAUCUGGAAAAGAAAGUUGCCUCAGCAGUGGCCUUUGCAUGUGGUUGUAGCCUGCUGAGUUGAUUGCUAGUUGUUACGUAGUUUAUUCACAAUUAGGUCACGCGACUUGUCGGAUUACGAAACUUAGGGUUGCAUGGGAUUGAGGUGAUGCCAUUUUAUUUGCCAAUUAUAGAGACCUGGAAGGGAUUGGGGGGACCUCUGCUACUUGAAACUCUUGUUUAGAAAAGGACCUUUAAUUUCCUGCAAUAAUAUGGAGUGUAUUGUAGGUUGUUUACAGAAUUUUUUUUGAUUUAAAUUUUUUGGGUCCUGUGAAAUGUCAACUAUUUCUACUUCUAGGGUGGUCCCUCAUCAUUUUGGGGUGUAAAUAGGCUAAUUUGUUGGUGUAUCAGAGCUGCUGAGGUUCUGAUGAAUGUUGUAUUAUUGUAAACAAUCUGUCAUUUUAUGGUCCCCUCUAUCUUUAGGGCCUUAGGGGCAGUCUCAUUUUGUUUAUGAGAUUAGUUUCUUUGGAGUAUUCUCUCUGGGAAUUGAGUUUUACAUGAUCAAGAGGGUGUUGGUAAUAAUUGAACUAGUGAUCUUCUAGUACGAAAAUCAUGUUUUAUCCACUCGAUCACCUCUUCCGAGGCGGAGUAUUGUCCUUUUGAUGUGUGGUGUAUGACAGUUCCGGUUGAUUAAGGCUAAUUUUUUCAAGAUUUCUUUCAAUUUUUUUGGUCAGACCACAGAGGUGUUAUUUCCAUUCACAUCGGGCUGACCCAAUUAAGAGGUAAAGUGUUGGUGAGAUUGGUUUUUCCAUACGAGAAAAGGAGUUCGAACUCCCAACCUUUCUUAAGGGAUGAGAGUGCACAACCACUUAUGUCAACCAAGCUGUUGUGCAACUCGGGAUCUACUUUCUUCAUAGACCUUUGGACGGGUUUAUGAAAAUCCAUGACAUGUGUGUUGAAGCGUUUGCAUUUUGCACUGGUGCAACUCGAGAUUUACUUUCUUCAUGGAUCUUUGGGCGAGUUUAUGGAAGUCCAGGACAUAGUCCCACGAAGCUGGGUUAUUAAAAAAAAUGUCAUGGUUUAACCUACACCAUGCAAAAGUAUGUGUAGCUCUUAGGGUCUAUGGCUCCCCAUAGUCCCUAUCCUUCUUUAUAUUGACAGGUGAAAGGUGACUAGUUAGGAAUAUAAAAAAAUUGUACUCAGGACCACUUUCUGCAGAAGACCACAAGAGUUAAAUGGUUUAAAAAAUGCAUAUUUCCCCGAAAAGAGUAGCCGAGUUGGUAGAAUAUAACUUUGUACUUGAAGAUUACGAGUUUGAUUCUUAACAACACUUUUUUGUCAAAUUAUUAUAUUGAAACGGAGUUAUACA